AAUGGAUCUGUACAAAGCAGAGGAUGAAUUGGCUUCUUUAACCAGAACCAGAGGCAGCGCACCUGGCCGGGCGCCCGAAGCAUCACCAGGCUCCUCUGAAAGGCCUGCCCCUCCGGAUUUCCAGCAAGUUCAUCACCAUGACGUGGACACUGCACUAGCCACUGGCCCUGCUUGCUGUCCACCCAGCUCGGUGCUGGAUCAGCAGGACCACCUUGUGUACCAGAGAGUGACUCAGGACAGCUCUGGCCGUCCUGAACCGCAGCGAAGAGAACCACACACAUGCAGACUGGGUGCCUUUGCUUCACACGCUGGCCAGCCGUCCAGACGAACGAGGUGCAUCGCGUUCUCUUCCCAACUGGACACGGAGGAGGGGAGGGAAGUGUUUGUGGCAGAGAGAAGUGCCCCGAGGCUCCCUGACCUGCAAAGCUCCCGAAGAGCGCAAGCUGUCUGCUAGGUGCUGCCAGGAGGUUGGGUCUGCGUUUCGAGCAUUUACAUCACAUGCAGUGGGAGCAGCAGAGAGCAUGUAGGAUACGGGGACGUGCUCUUUGUGGAGUUCGAGUGACCUUUCAAGAGACAGUGCAGCAAGGAGUGCAGCAAGGACAGGAGGUGGCGGGAAGGCCGGCCCUGACCCCACGGCCCGAGCUGGGACGGAGGAGCACAUCGAUGGAGCACUAACCGAGAAAAGAGGGCCAACAGCUGGAGGCCACAGCCCAGGACCCUGCCCCGCUCCUUGAGCCUGCAGUCACCCCACAGCACACACCCAUGAGCCCAGAGGGCACCUGGGGUCACUGCAGGCAAACCUGCCCAAGGGGACAGGCCGAACUGCAGGGGCCUGGGGGCUGGUCAUCCGGCUCCCAGGUGGCAUCCUUCCCACCCCCCCCAAACCCUGUCAGCACAGAGAACGGGUGAGUCAGGGGUGCCAGGGACCCAAGGGAGCCCCGUGUGCAGGGGUGCAGAAGACAAUGUCCACAGACGCCACGCCGGGGCGUCACGGGGCCUGGAACCUGCAGAGCUGGGAGAAACGACGUUAUCCCUCAUCUGCAGAUAAGGAAACAGGCUCUCAGAGUCUGGGUGCAGAUCAAGGCAAGUCUGCAACUGGACACAAGACAGGACCCUACUCACCCCUCCUGUGACCCAGGGGCGGACAGCACCCGCAGCAUCACAGGCUUCUCUGUCAUUGUCUGUGAGGGAGCGAGUGAAGUGAGCCGAGGGCUUAGCGAGCGCUGAGGAUGGGGACGCUGCCCUGAGAGCUCUUUGCAGGACUGGCAGAGGCGAGGCGCGGGGCGGCGCGGAGCCGUGGGGGGCUCAGCUAAAGGCAGCGCCACGCUCACUGUGGGGCAGCCCCUGCCAGCCCUGAGCUUGCUGAGGUCCAUCGUUUGUUUUCUCAGCUGCGUGACAGACUACGUUUAGCAGCUCUGUUCUGUGCAGCGAGCUUUAGACAGAAAUAAACAGGAUGGACACGGAGAGGACACAGUAUUUAACUGUGGGUCACAGAGCCUGUUAUGGGUCGCUGAUAGACUGGACCACAAAAUAAGGAUUGGAACUCAGUGCAGAGACGAUGGGCUGGACCUCAGAGCUGAUAUUCCCAAGGCUGAGCACAGAGUCACUUGUUCAGGGAAUGGCCCCUGGGUCUCAGGACCCACGCUCCCUCCUGGGGCUGCAGAGAUGCUGAUGUUUGAGCUCUGUUGUCAAGAAACAAGCAGGCUUUCUCGGCUAGAGGCGGCAGGGUAAAGCUCUCGGGAGGAGAGAGUGGGCGGGGUGACCCAGAAGGCCCAGGACGUGCGUCUGGGGAUGGGGAGCUGGCCGUGCCCCUGUUUGUGGCAUAAAUGUGCCUUGAACAUGCCCAGGUGCCAGGCGACGGCUCCAUGGGGAGCUGCCACUUACAGGAGGCGUCUCGUUUGCAGAGAGUGGGGUGUGCGUGUGCCGAUGGCUGUGGAAGGAAGGGGCAGAGUAACAGGGCAAUUUGAGGAGGUAACAGCAGGGACGGCACUGAUGUCUCACAGAGCUGGGCGUCCAGGAGGGCGUGUCCGGGUUCCCCAGGUGGUUCCUGUUCCAGCCCCUAAAGCCCUGAGUCCUGGGACGGCCCGGAUGGGUGGGCAGCUAGCAGAGAAGGCUUCUCGGAGGAGGUGGCCGCCACCCCUAAAUGUCAUGGGGGCCGUGGGCCAGCUCCCCAAGGCUCGGGGCAGUUUAAAGAGGCUGCGCUGUGAGCAGGAAGGCUGCAGGAGUGCCCUCCAUGCCGCCCCAUGAAGUCUCGCCCCCGUCCAUGCCCCAGCCCCACCCUGGGCAUCAGGACAGCAGCGGGCAGCUGGGGGCCUCUGGGAUGUGGUGGGGCUGUGGCUGUGCCCGGCCCCCUCCCUGGAGCAGCAGCCCCUCCACCUGCCCCGCUGGAGGGCCCCCUCACGCCUCCCUACUCCCUUCCAGCCCCAGCUCCUGACGCCCUGGGCACUGCCCUCUGUUUUCCCCACGGGCGACAGGGUCCCGUGGACGGCACUCCUGGCAGGCCAACGCUGUCCCCACUUACGGGCCACACAGCUGCCCCACCUCCCCCAACGCUGUCCAUACUGGGUUGCGGGGCUCCAUAAGGAUGGGCCUGGAGCCUGACAGGACCCGGGACCCGUUUUCAUCACCACCGAAACCCAGAGGCCUUCAUGCCCCUCCUGGUCCCAUAGGUCCCAGGUCCCAAAGCCCCUGAGCCGCCCAGAGGUGCCCUCCCUCGGGACGGGAUGGAAGAACAGGCUGACUGCCGGGAGGCCAAGCACUGCCUAAGCUUGGGGCUCCAGAGAAGCUUCUAGAAAACAGUUCCAGCCCUGGAAGCUCUCAAGAUAGACUCAAGCUGCCAGAAUUCAGCCACUGGAGUGGACUGUCCAUCCCGGCAAGAGCUGUGGAGAGGGCCAGGGCUGCGAUCAGAGGUCGGGGUCAGGGGGCCCCCAGGUCGAUGCAUCAGCUCUGAGCAUUCCCGGCCCGGAUGGGCUCUCUGCUGCCCCAGGACUGAGCAGGCUCUGUGCCCUUGUUAACUGGAGACAGUGGCUAAGCCGCUGCCCGCUUCCUGCAUUCUGGACUUGAGAGAAGCCCCAGCACCUUCAGAGAGGCCUCAGGACCUUUAGAGAGGCCCCAGGACCUUUAGAGAGGCCCUAGCACCUUCAGAGAGGCCCCAGCACCUUCAGAGAGGCCUCACCUUUAGAGAGGCCCCAGGACCUUUAGAGAGGCCCCAGCACCUUCAGAGAGGCCUCAGGACCUUUAGAGAGGCCCCAGGACCUUUAGAGAGGCCCUAGCACCUUCAGAGAGGCCCCAGCACCUUCAGAGAGGCCUCACCUUUAGAGAGGCCCCAGGACCUUUAGAGAGGCCCCAGCACCUUCAGAGAGGUCUCAGGACCUUUAGAGAGGACCCAGGACAUUUACAGAGGCCCCAGGAUCUUCAGAGAGGCCCCAGCACCUUCAGAGAGGCCUCAGGACCUUUAGAGAGGACCCAGCACCUUCAGAGAGGCCCCAGGAUUUUUAGAGAGGCCCCAGCAUCUUUAGAGAGGCCCCAGCACCUUCAGAGAGGCUCCAGUACCUUCAGAGAGGCUCCAGGACCUUCAGAGAGGCUCCAUGCCUUUAGAGAGGCCCCAGCACCUUCAGAGAGGCCCCAGGACCUUUAGAGAGGCCCCAGGACCUUUAGAGAGGGCCCAGCACCUUCAGAGAGGCCUGAGUGCCUUUAGAGACGCCCCAGUGCCUUCAGAGAGGCCUGAGUGCCUUUAGAGAAGCCCCAGGACCUUUAGAGAGGCCCCAGGACCUUUAGAGAGGCCCCAGCACCUUCAGAGAGGCCCCAGGACCUUUAGAGAGGCCCCAGGACCUUUAGAGAGGGCCCAGCACCUUCAGAGAGGCCCCAGCACCUUCAGAGAGGCCCGAGUGCCUUUAGAGAAGCCCCAGUGCCUUCAGAGAGGCCUGAGUGCCUUUAGAGAAGCCCCAGGACCUUUAGAGAGGCACAGCGCCUUUAGAGAGGCUCCACACCUGUGAUGCUUGCUAGAGACUCGGAUGUGGACAGCGUGUCACGAUUCCCGACAGGCGCUGCCCAGGGUAGGGUUUGAGGGUCCCACACGGGGGCAAGUGGGGGACAGGCCCUGGGCCCCAGUGUCUGGCCUGCACACGGCACAGAAGCGCACAUGACAGGAGCUGAGCUGGGAGAUGGGUCAGAACAUGCGUGGUGUGGGCCAUGUUCCUUGUCCUUCCCUACGCGAAGCCAGCAGGUCUGCCAGGCACGACAGGUUUCCAUGGAAACCACUUGGUCCGCUGGGCCGUCUCAGUGCUGCUGCCAUGGAAGCAUGUUGUCCUCUGGGUGAUGGGCCUCAUUACGAGCGGGGGAGACCGUGGGCUUCCAGCUCACGUCCGCGCCCGCGGCCCACCCCCUCCUGGAGGCUGUCUCUGAGCUGCUUACCCCUGCGUCACCAGGCCUGGUGUCGGGCGCUUUACAGAGAGGAGGAAAGAUGCUGUAAGCUGUCAAGUGCCUGGUGCGAACAGGUCAGCAAGAAGGAGCCGGUGGUCAUUAUGGAAUCAGAGGCUGGGGGCGGGGAGAGAGCCGCCAGGGAGGGGCCCGUAACCACCGCCUACUGCCCACCACCCGCCAACCAGGGUACGGAGGAGGCCCGGGCCCCCAGAGCCCCACGCAGACCUGCCUUUGGCGUGGUCCCCCGUCUCCUGGCCCUGUUCCCCAUCCACGCCCCCCAACACCACACACAGUGCACACACCACACACAUUGCACACAGCACACACAUGUACACACACAUGCACACACGCGCACGCAUGUACAUACACCACACAUACCCGACCCACAUCAUGUACACACGUGUACACACACAUGUACACAUACCUGACCCCCAUCAUACAGACACACAUCACAUCCAACAUGCACACCACGUAGACACCCCCACGUCUGCACACACAUCGCAGACACAGAGCCCACAGUUUCAGACAGGACAGGACACGCUGACCAUCCCUGUGAACCAGCUUCACAGGAAGCGCCCUGGGGGUGGUGAUGAGUGGAACACAGUCCUUACCGGUCACACAGGGCACCUACCCAAGUGGCCUCACAUAGCUUUCAUGUAAUUUCAAGAAGAGCUUAUUUGUUAAUCGAGUUUCCAAAGAACCACAACCAGCAACCAAACAGCAGUCUCCUGAGCAUCCGCAGGUGUCCCCCCAACCCCGCCCUCUUUUAACCCCGGGGGGCUGUGGGCCCCUUGCACCUUCCUAGUCGGACCAUUUAAGGGCACAGGGGAGCAGGGUCCAGCCAGCUAAGUGUUGGUGUCAGCCAGGAAAUGUCAAAAAUAUGAGAGGAAAAACUAGAGAGUGAAAAAUGGAAUGUGAGGGCUGAGAUGAUGGAAGGAUGGGAACUGCCUCCAGGGAGAGGAGCAGGUCUCCUUCAUCAACAUCAGUCUCAGAUGUGUACUAGCGUGUGUGCACUAAUGCGUGUGUGCUAACGUGCGGGUGUGCACAGUGGGAAGGUGUGCAGU
Bubalus bubalis (water buffalo) is the source of this 5486-nucleotide long non-coding RNA. RefSeq lists it as uncharacterized. The record is from RefSeq and is a predicted model, not a curated record. NCBI's taxonomy places the organism in Eukaryota, Metazoa, Chordata, Mammalia, Artiodactyla, Bovidae. The transcript has 4 exons.